This 253-nucleotide ribosomal RNA is filed under the name uncultured bacterium. Its description in RNAcentral is "partial 16S ribosomal RNA". It matches the Rfam family "Bacterial small subunit ribosomal RNA", at positions 524 to 776 of the family's 1533-position model. The record is from RNAcentral.
UACGUAGGGCGCAAGCGUUAUCCGGAAUUAUUGGGCGUAAAGAGCUCGUAGGCGGUUUGUCGCGUCUGCCGUGAAAGUCCGGGGCUCAACUCCGGAUCUGCGGUGGGUACGGGCAGACUAGAGUGAUGUAGGGGAGACUGGAAUUCCUGGUGUAGCGGUGAAAUGCGCAGAUAUCAGGAAGAACACCGAUGGCGAAGGCAGGUCUCUGGGCAUUAACUGACGCUGAGGAGCGAAAGCAUGGGGAGCGAACAGG